UCGGAGGAUGUUUGUAUCCACUUAGUGUCUC
This 31-nucleotide non-coding RNA is filed under the name Homo sapiens (human). Lineage: Eukaryota; Metazoa; Chordata; Mammalia; Primates; Hominidae. The record is from RNAcentral.